CCUGGCUCAGGACGAACGCUGGCGGCGCGCCUAACACAUGCAAGUCGAACGAGAGAUGAGGAGCUUGCUCUUCAAAUCGAGUGGCGAACGGGUGAGUAACGCGUGAGGAACCUGCCUCAAAGAGGGGGACAACAGUUGGAAACGACUGCUAAUACCGCAUAAGCCCACGGCUCGGCAUCGAGCAGAGGGAAAAGGAGCAAUCCGCUUUGAGAUGGCCUCGCGUCCGAUUAGCUGGUUGGUGAGGUAACGGCCCACCAAGGCGACGAUCGGUAGCCGGACUGAGAGGUUGAACGGCCACAUUGGGACUGAGACACGGCCCAGACUCCUACGGGAGGCAGCAGUGGGGAAUAUUGCACAAUGGGGGAAACCCUGAUGCAGCGACGCCGCGUGGAGGAAGAAGGUCUUCGGAUUGUAAACUCCUGUUGUUGAGGAAGAUAAUGACGGUACUCAACAAGGAAGUGACGGCUAACUACGUGCCAGCAGCCGCGGUAAAACGUAGGUCACAAGCGUUGUCCGGAAUUACUGGGUGUAAAGGGAGCGCAGGCGGGAGAACAAGUUGGAAGUGAAAUCCAUGGGCUCAACCCAUGAACUGCUUUCAAAACUGUUUUUCUUGAGUAGUGCAGAGGUAGGCGGAAUUCCCGGUGUAGCGGUGGAAUGCGUAGAUAUCGGGAGGAACACCAGUGGCGAAGGCGGCCUACUGGGCACCAACUGACGCUGAGGCUCGAAAGUGUGGGUAGCAAACAGGAUUAGAUACCCUGGUAGUCCACACCGUAAACGAUGAUUACUAGGUGUUGGAGGAUUGACCCCUUCAGUGCCGCAGUUAACACAAUAAGUAAUCCACCUGGGGAGUACGACCGCAAGGUUGAAACUCAAAGGAAUUGACGGGGGCCCGCACAAGCAGUGGAGUAUGUGGUUUAAUUCGACGCAACGCGAAGAACCUUACCAAGUCUUGACAUCCCUUGACGAACAUAGAAAUAUGUUUUCUCUUCGGAGCAAGGAGACAGGUGGUGCAUGGUUGUCGUCAGCUCGUGUCGUGAGAUGUUGGGUUAAGUCCCGCAACGAGCGCAACCCUUAUGGUCAGUUACUACGCAAGAGGACUCUGGCCAGACUGCCGUUGACAAAACGGAGGAAGGUGGGGAUGACGUCAAAUCAUCAUGCCCUUUAUGACUUGGGCUACACACGUACUACAAUGGCGUUAAACAAAGAGAAGCAAGACCGCGAGGUGGAGCAAAACUCAGAAACAACGUCCCAGUUCGGACUGCAGGCUGCAACUCGCCUGCACGAAGUCGGAAUUGCUAGUAAUCGUGGAUCAGCAUGCCACGGUGAAUACGUUCCCGGGCCUUGUACACACCGCC
Molecule: ribosomal RNA, 1355 nt
Filed under: uncultured bacterium
Lineage: Bacteria
Description: bacterial SSU rRNA
Rfam family: Bacterial small subunit ribosomal RNA
Source: RNAcentral